RNAcentral lists this ribosomal RNA (253 nucleotides) under uncultured bacterium. RNAcentral's name for it is "partial 16S ribosomal RNA". It matches the Rfam family "Bacterial small subunit ribosomal RNA", at positions 524 to 776 of the family's 1533-position model. The record is from RNAcentral.
UACAGAGGUCUCAAGCGUUGCUCGGAAUUACUGGGCGUAAAGCGCACGUAGGCGGAUCAUUAAGUCGGGGGUGAAAUCCUGGAGCUCAACUCCAGAACUGCCUUCGAUACUGGCGAUCUUGAGUCCGGGAGAGGUGAGUGGAACUCCGAGUGUAGAGGUGAAAUUCGUAGAUAUUCGGAAGAACACCAGUGGCGAAGGCGGCUCACUGGCCCGGUACUGACGCUGAGGUGCGAAAGCGUGGGGAGCAAACAGG